GGUGGCGCGCAAUAGAGAAGAGAGGGAGAGAGGGGGGACGGGCAAUAGAGAAGAGAGGGAGAGAGGGGAGGGGCUGCGGGUGGUCUAGGCGUGGGUGGCGACGGGGGCGGCGAGGAGCGAGACGGCGGAGGAGAGGAGCGGCCGGCAGAGGCGCCGGACGGAGGAGAAGCCGGAGCGGCCCAAGGAACGGUGGUGCCAGAGGGAGAGGGCCCACGGGCGGCUCCGAGAUGAUGCGGCACCUGCGCGACGAGGCCAGCCCCGUGCUCCUGCACAUGCGGCGGCAGCUCGCCGGCGAGGUCGAGCACGUCUGGCGGCGGCAGGAGCUCUAGGAGGUGCCCGAGCAGCCCGACCACUCCAGCGGCCACAGCCGGUGCGACGGCGUCUAGCCCAGCGCGGAGAAGCAGUGGACCCCGUAGGAGACCUCGAAGGGGCUCUGGUCCUGUGCGUAGGACCACUCGAGGAACCAGUAGUCGACAAGGUAGUGGCUCCAACCUCCUUCGAUGACCAGACCGUAAGUCUAAACACUAGCCGUUUUCGUUACUGUUCAGAUUCUACCGUCGAGAACUUUCUCUCCAACUUCUUAUACUACUAAAACACGAAAAUCUAGAAUUAGAAUACAAAAUCCAAUCGUAAGAAAUUCCGACGGAUACGCAACAAGCUAAGACUAAAGAUACAAUUUCGACUACUACUGUAAAUGAACUCUGGUCCAAUCCCCAUGUAUUUUGUAUGCCACAUGUUCAACUCCCUUGUUCUCGCGUUAAGUAUGGUAUACAAAAAAACAUAAACGCUUGCGAGUGGACCCGUUAAUAUGACACAUCGUGAGCAGCGACGGACGAAUAACAAAACUAACGAGAGAAAACUACUUGCGUCCAUACUCGGUAUCAGGAAGGAUGAACCUAGUCUUAUGAAGGAAGUACGUAUACCCGGAUAAAUAUGAUGGUUCACUUUACGAUGUAAAGAUGAGGAUUGGGUAAGAGAGAAAGAAUCACAAAAAUAAUACGUCCAACCUUCUUUUGUUCUUCUAGGCCUCUUCUAGAAUCAUUAUUCUAUCAAAAAAUCCUUUUAUCUAUAAAUCAAAAUCUAGUAAGGAACAUUAUAAACAACCUAUACACAAGUACCUAUACACAACC
Molecule: ribosomal RNA, 1130 nt
Filed under: Triticum aestivum (bread wheat)
Lineage: Eukaryota; Viridiplantae; Streptophyta; Magnoliopsida; Poales; Poaceae
Description: partial small subunit ribosomal RNA
Source: RNAcentral